AUGCCCCGCCCCUCACGCAGCGCGCCGUCAGUGGGGUGGAAAGUGAGACCAACUCAGAAAUGGAGCAAUAGAGGCAGGGAGUGGUCUUGGCCUCUCUUCCAGGCUGUAGUCAGUCGAAAGACGGCUCUGGGGUUUCUUUGGCCUGUCGGGACGAACUUACAGAACUUUUGCCCUUCAACAAGCCCCACUGUACCCUUGUAACUGCCCCCAAGCCAAGGAACAUGACCCACCCCUACCCGCCCCGGGAGCCCCAUGGCUCCUGUCCUGUUCUGUCAUCUCCACCCUAUGAAGGUGGCCAGCGUCUGGAGUUUAGCCCAAUGGAGUCUUGCUGUGUUGCCUAGGCUGGAGUGCAGUGGCACCAUGUCGACUCACUGCAACCUCCGCCUCCCCGGUUCAAGCGAUUCUCCUGCCUCAGCCUCCUGAGUAGCUGGGAUUACAGGUGAGCACCACCAUGCCCAGCUAAUCGUAAAAGACUUUUCAUAAAACUUCAGAACUCCUUAAAAACUAGUGAAUAGCCAAGGUGAAGAAAGCCCUCAGGCUUCUGACUUUAGACCCCAAUCCCUGGGACUCCCACACUCAGCAAAGAAAGCUGGGUGCCUGCACCCUGGAUCUCUGAGCAAACCUGUCUUAUGGCUGUGGGCAACUCAGGAACAUGAAUUAGCACGAGAAUCUGGAGUUUUUCUUUCCUUUUCUGAGAGUUUCAUACGCAGACCUUAAGUAGACAUAGUAUCCAGCUAAAAGGGUCUCACUCUGUCACCCAGGCUGGAGUGCAGUGGCGCAGUCAUGGCUCCCUGUAACCUCAACCUCUCAGACUCCAGCAAUCCUCCUGCGACAGCGAAGUUAAUCUUCUGGUUCGGUUCACAAAGUGCAGGAGAGCCUACCAGCUUGAGAGAAAAGGAGUCAUGCUGUAUUUGUUUCCUUGAGUGAAUGGCCACUCAGCUGCUGUGUUUCUCCCUGCAUGUGGCUGAAGUUUACAUUGGAGGGUGACUUCCUGAUUGCCAGUUAGCAUAUGUGUCCGGCUACCAGCCGCCUGACUGGCUGAGGAUGCUCUUUGUUUGUUCAAGGAUGAACGUUCUCCCCCUGCCUUGCAGGAAGAGGGGAGCAAGGUGCGCCCGGGAGACGCGUGACAGUGCCCUGUAAAGCCAGUAGAGGAAAUCUUGUGGAGUGUGAAUGCACAGGCUUAGAUUCCCCUGUCCCUGAGUCGGGGGCAUGUGCUCGUGGAGAAUGACCCUAUCAAGUUCAAGGUGUGGCAUCUCCUGAUCCAGCAACAGGAUUUGUUCCAGAGAAAAAUCCCCAGGUCUUGGGACUGUUGACAGAUGGCCAUGACUAUGCUUAAUGUGGUCAUCAACUGAGAAUGGUCCGUCUCAUCUUUGAGUAUGCAAUUACCUUUAUAGCUGAUUAUGACACCCUCAGAUCAUAUCAUGAGGUGGACAAGAUGAGUCCAUGGCCCAUGCUGAGAACUGGUACUUCUGUCUUCAUAGACUCACUCACCAACCAGAGAUGUACGACGGACCCCAAAUGGUCUGUCAAAAAUGUGAACUUGCACUAAGACAAGACCCAACAUCAGUGACAUUGGACACAAGAUAGAAAUCAGAGAACAGUUACUGUCCAGCAGUUUUAACCACCAAUACCCAUUUAUUUUAAUGGAAAAAAAAAUCUCUGCAUUCUAUAUGUUCCAAAAGGAUUUACCAUUGAAACAAAUACAAUAUAUGGAACUCUAUCUGUAUAAUUUCACUACAACAAAGACAACAUAUGACUUCUACUUCCUACAGAAGGCUAACUGAAAGCACAAGUGCAAACAUAGAUUGCAUAAGAAAGCGUGUGUGUGUGCAUGUGCGGUUAAAACCUUUAGUAAGCAACUGCAUUAAAAUAUGCUAAGACACUCACCUUACCCUAGUUCGUGGCGAGCUCUAAUAAAAAGCCACAAGCUGUCACUAGUUUUAUUUGAUAGAAAAAUUUGGUGUGAGCUUUGAUGAUUCAUUUAUGGUUUAUCAACAAGAAGGUAAUCUUAGAACAAGCACUAACUUUCCGCUUUUACAUGCUCACAGAAUACAAAUCAGUUACUUUUCAUACAUAAUGAACGUCUUUUAUUUUCGGGUUUGCAAACAACGGUAGUCAAUUCACACAAAAGGGUACUUUUAAAACUACCUGUAUUUACUCUAUUUUAUGCCUGUAUAUAUGAAACAAACAGCGUGAAUGUGCAUAAAUGUAUGUCUGUACAUGUGGGUAUAUAUGUGUAUACAAGAUGGUACCUGUACACCUCUUUGUAUGCAUGUAUGACCUCCAUGAUGACAGGUGCAGUUGUACAUUUACUGAGGAGGGAGAGAUUCUCUACCAUGAUCUGUGUCCCCAUUAGAAUCAGUACGACUGUGGAUUCGGGACACAUACAAAUGCAGGUUGGUGCCCAUGAAAGAAAAUGUCAGCCCUUUUCUUGGCAUUUGGUGGUGAAAUUGCCUGCUCUGCUCCUCACCUCCUUGGCUCAGGAUCACGGCAUCAGAUGGCAGUGUAAAUUGGUUGUAGUCCUCGAACUCAAUAAAGAGAAAGGACUUCUUUCUCUGCUCUCCCUCUCUGUGGACCUGCCUGGCUGGUUGUGGCAGCAUUCAGACUGAACGGGACAGUGGAGAAGUAGCUUCGGAGCAAAAGUGACAGCUCUGUGGUCUGUCCUCAUGCUGACCUUGAUGCGGGAGGCCCUGGAGGGUUCAGGUGUCUUAGUUUCCACCCACCUUGCUUAACCUUGCAAGGAAGAAUGGCAUCAAAACGAGGCUUCUCCAGGAUAGUCUCUCUCUAUAAAUACCGUGUAUAUAUACAUACAGAUACUCAUACAUACACCAAUACUAACCCACAGACAAAGCUGGGUGCCUGGAGCACUGGCUAGCGACAUGUUAACACACCAGAAAAAGUAGUCAUUGUUCCUGCUCCCAGAAGAUCAAGUCAUAUGUCAUGAUCUUUAAACAUUCAGGGAAAAUUCAGAAGAUUCCAUUAAUUAAAGGAGGGAGGAAGAUGCUGUCAAAAUGAUGAAGUACAGACUAAGUGAAAUUGUAAAGAAAAUAAAAAACCGGAACAAUUGAGGCCUAGUUGUGAAGUUCGAUAGCUGUAAACCGCAAUCUUCAGAUUUGGAUAGAUUUUUUUUUUUCCUGUUGCUAUGGAAACUUGGGAGUCAAGCUUCAGACGUCAGGAGUUCUCACAGACCUGAAUAGAGAGGGUUCAGAGUUAAGUCGGGAAUAUCACCACUCAAUUCAAAACAUUUUAGCUAAAAGCCAGAAAAAUGACAGGCAAGGUAUAAUAAACACA
Long non-coding RNA from Homo sapiens (human), 3291 nucleotides. Ensembl annotates it as CDH13 antisense RNA 2. Its record names the gene CDH13-AS2. Lineage: Eukaryota; Metazoa; Chordata; Mammalia; Primates; Hominidae. The record is from Ensembl.